Molecule: ribosomal RNA, 254 nt
Filed under: uncultured bacterium
Lineage: Bacteria
Description: partial 16S ribosomal RNA
Rfam family: Bacterial small subunit ribosomal RNA
Source: RNAcentral
GACGAACCGUGCGAACGUUAUUCGGAAUCACUGGGCUUAAAGCGCGCGUAGGCGGACGGGCACGUCGGACCCUGAAAGCCCCCGGCUCAACCGGGGAACUGGCGCCGAUACGACCCGUCUGGAGGGACGUAGGGGGACCUGGAACUUCCGGUGGAGCGGUGAAAUGCGUUGAGAUCGGAAGGAACGCCCGUGGCGAAAGCGAGGUCCUGGACGUCUGCUGACGCUGAGACGCGAAAGCUAGGGGAGCGAACGGG